CCUACGGGGGGCAGCAGUGAGGAAUAUUGGUCAAUGGUCGGGAGACUGAACCAGCCAAGCCGCGUGAGGGAUGAAGGUACAGAGUAUCGUAAACCUCUUUUGUCAGGGAACAAAGGCGGGGACGCGUCCCCGGAUGAGUGUACCUGAAGAAAAAGCAUCGGCUAACUCCGUGCCAGCAGCGGCGGUAAUACGGAGGAUGCGAUCGUUAUCCGGAUUUAUUGGGUUUAAGGGGUGCGCAGGCGGUCUGUUAAGUCAGCGGGCAAAGCCCGGGGCUCAACCCCGGCCCGCCGUUGAAACUGGCAGUCUCGAGUUGGAGAGAAGUAUGCGGAAUGCGCGGUGUAGCGGUGAAAUGCAUAGAUAUCGCGCAGAACUCCGAUUGCGAAGGCAGCAUGCCGGCUCCACACUGAUGCUGAGGCACGAAAGCGUGGGUAUCGAACAGGAUUAGAUACCCCUGUAGUC
RNAcentral lists this ribosomal RNA (459 nucleotides) under uncultured bacterium. Its description in RNAcentral is "partial 16S ribosomal RNA". It matches the Rfam family "Bacterial small subunit ribosomal RNA", at positions 338 to 795 of the family's 1533-position model. The record is from RNAcentral.